RNAcentral lists this long non-coding RNA (270 nucleotides) under Trifolium pratense (red clover). RNAcentral's name for it is "long non-coding RNA (TPRA_LNC010548)". The record is from RNAcentral. Lineage: Eukaryota; Viridiplantae; Streptophyta; Magnoliopsida; Fabales; Fabaceae.
UUUAGUUGAAGGAAUGAAAUUAGGUUUUGAAAGUUGUUGAAAUUUGGGAGUUUCUGGAAAAUUACGAGUGAUGAUUGAAAAUGACAUUGUUGUGGUUUGGUUGAAGGAGAGAUGAUAGCAGUAUCGAUUUGUGGUACGGAAUGGAAUUGAGAGUAUGAAGAAGAAGAAGAAGUUGAAAGGGGAUUUUAGGGUUUGAAAAUUGGAAAUGGAAGGACACAUGUGAAGUCUGGUAUUUGUUCACUAUGGUUCAUGUUGUACCCCACAUGUUGC